RNAcentral lists this long non-coding RNA (521 nucleotides) under Ananas comosus (pineapple). RNAcentral's name for it is "long non-coding RNA (ACOM_LNC034984)". Lineage: Eukaryota; Viridiplantae; Streptophyta; Magnoliopsida; Poales; Bromeliaceae. The record is from RNAcentral.
UUUUACUUCUCUAAAUCCAAUAAAAAUAGUAUCUCACACUAUUUUUUAUUUAUUUUCACUUUUAUAUUUAAAAUCCGGUAUGUUACAUUCCACCGCAAUCGCACCGGAACCAUUUAAAUGUACACCGUAACUUCAUGAUUUUCGAAGUUCGGUAUGUUACAUUCUUCCCUCCUUAAUAAGAGUUUCGUCCUCGAAACUCAAAUAAAUCCAACUCCAAUUUGCACCCCAACUCAAUUUACCGGGCAAUCGGGAACUUCAAUGCACUUUUGCAUCUCGGAGUGGCCUUUCUCUCAUUGGAACCAUCCAAGGGCCCACUACGGAAGAUGUGAGACCAAAUUCACGCACAUUUGCUAAGUGUAACUCCGAAAGUGCAUUACGGGUCUCCUCCGCCAUUCUUUGUGGUAGCGCAAGUCGAAACUCUACGACACUACGCGCUCCGACACCAUUCACCGCUUGGCAUGCAAGAAUUCUCAUUUGCAUCUACUUUCCCCACCUCAGGGUACUCCGAUUCGAUCACCAAC